ACGAGACGGGAUGGAAUGACCCUUCGGGGGAAUGAAAUCCUAGAAAGUGGCGAACGGGUGAGUAACGCGUGGGUAACCUGCCCUAUGGAAAGGAAUAGCCUCGGGAAACUGGGAGUAAUGCCUUAUAAUAUACGAGAGUCGCAUGGCUUUUGUAUUAAACGCUCCGGUGCCAUAGGAUGGACCCGCGUCCCAUUAGCUAGUUGGUGAGAUAACAGCCCACCAAGGCAACGAUGGGUAACCGGUCUGAGAGGGCGAACGGUCACACUGGAACUGAGACACGGUCCAGACUCCUACGGGAGGCAGCAGUGGGGAAUAUUGCGCAAUGGGGGCAACCCUGACGCAGCAAUACCGCGUGAGUGAAGAAGGUUUUCGGAUCGUAAAGCUCUGUUAUUGGGGAAGAAAAAAGACGGUACCCAAGAAGAAAGUCCCGGCUAACUACGUGCCAGCAGCCGCGGUAAUACGUAGGGGACAAGCGUUGUCCGGAUUUACUGGGCGUAAAGGGCACGCAGGCGGUUUUUUAAGUCAGAUGUGAAAGGUACCGGCUCAACCGGUGACAUGCAUUUGAAACUGAAAGACUUGAGUAUUGGAGAGGCAAGUGGAAUUCCUAGUGUAGCGGUGAAAUGCGUAGAUAUUAGGAGGAACACCGGUGGCGAAGGCGGCUUGCUGGACAAAUACUGACGCUGAG
Molecule: ribosomal RNA, 685 nt
Filed under: uncultured Acetobacterium sp.
Lineage: Bacteria; Bacillati; Bacillota; Clostridia; Eubacteriales; Eubacteriaceae
Description: bacterial SSU rRNA
Rfam family: Bacterial small subunit ribosomal RNA
Source: RNAcentral